AGGUGGAGGAGUGGGGAAUCAAACCCAGUUCUCCAGAUUAGAAUCCACCUGCUCUUAACCACUACACCACGCUUGGCCCAGAACACAGAACAACCAUUUUUUUUUAUUUCCAAGUUGCUAAUCCGCAAGAGCAGAUAAGCCUGUUUGAAACCCGUGCCUUCAGCAUUGCAAAUUUAAACUGCAGGCAGGACAGGAGAUGUUAGUUUCCCCCACUUCCAGUUUCCUCAGCAAAUCAUGACUCUGACCCCUUGGGAACCUGCAAUCUUCAGAAGCACAGUUGCCCAUAGCAACCUGAAUCAGAGGAGAAGAAACUGGCGUAUCCCCAAUAGAGAUGGGGAAGUCCACCACCAUCACAGACAGUCUUCCUGACAGGCAACUAGUAGAUCAUCCGGAGUUUUUCCAGCUCCUGGUUGUAGCAUUGCCAGGUUCCCCAGUGGGGAGUAGGAUUGCCAGCUCCAGGUUGAGGAACUCCUAGAGAUUUGGGAGUAGAACCUGAGGAAGGACAGGGAUCUCUUGCCAUAUAAUCUGUCCACCCCCAAGCAUCCAUUUUAACCAGGGGAAUUGACUUCUGUAGUCUGGAGAUGAGUUGUAAUUGCUGGAGACCCCAGGUACCACCCGGAGGCUGACAUCUCUAUCUGGCUGUGUUUCCAGAAAGGCCCUCCAUUUUCUUAAUGUACCACUUGUGCCAAGGCGAUUGGUAAAAUGCACCACUGGCGGGUAGAGUGUGAGGCACGGGCUUGCUGCUCUAGAGUUUCUACUAAACAUUUUGUUCCUAGAAGUUCUAUCAGCUGCCCGUUGGCCUUUGGAAAACUGGCCCCACGCCAAACAAAUCUCCUUAAACCACACACCCAGUGAUGUGUCACCUUUUAAUACAGGUUGCCACCCCACAGCAGCAAGAGGACAUUUUCAAACCAGGGAAGAGGGUACUGAAGCCAAGCUUCAUUUGACACUGUCUCAAGGUUUG
Long non-coding RNA from Sphaerodactylus townsendi, 964 nucleotides. RefSeq lists it as uncharacterized. Lineage: Eukaryota; Metazoa; Chordata; Lepidosauria; Squamata; Sphaerodactylidae. The record is from RefSeq and is a predicted model, not a curated record. The transcript is spliced from 3 exons.